Non-coding RNA from Pelobates cultripes (western spadefoot toad), 254 nucleotides. The record is from the annotation of a GenBank genome assembly. NCBI's taxonomy places the organism in Eukaryota, Metazoa, Chordata, Amphibia, Anura, Pelobatidae.
CAUAUUUUAUAAUUUGCUUAAAAUAAGAGGGCAGUUUGUUCUAUAUUAACCAUCUACAGGCACGGUUAAAGAUAUGCAUUGGAGUAUUUACAAUAAAAGCACAAAUUACACUUUUUUUUCCCUUAGUAUAGUUUUUAGUAUAUUUUACGUUAAAAUAUCCAUAUCCCACUACAGCAAUCACUUAAUCACAAAACAAAAAUUUUGACUUUAAACCACUCUACAUAGAAUGUAGUCAGACAAGGCGAAUAACUGGG